GACCGGGAUAGGGGUCUGAGCCUGGAAAGGCAGCUGUGAGGGGGUGGAAGAGACUGAGCACAUAGUAGGUGUGGGGCCAGGGGUGAUAGGGUGGGGACAGGCCUGGAGUGCCUAGGGUAGAGCGGAGCCUGCAGUCGCCAGUGGAGGGUCGGGCCUUGGGGCGGUUUGAGAUGGAGCCUCGACAGACAGUGAUUAGGACGCAGAACCAGGCUAAGAGAGCGUAAGGAGCCUAGAGCGACCCAGGCGAGAGGGCAGGGCUGGAGGGGAGUUUAGGGACGGAGCGACGGUCCGCUGGACCAGGGCCUGUAAACGACUCCAGGGACCAGGCAGGGACUCUUCGAAGAUCAAAGCCAGGGCUGAAACGACCUGCGAGUUCCUUUUCCGUCCCCACCCCCCUUACAGGUGGCUCAUCGCGGUCACGGACUUCCAGACGCGCUCGCGCUUGCUGCGCUCCGGGCUCAGUCCCCGCGGGCUUGCGCACCAGAUCGUGCGCCACGACGACCUCCUGCUGGGCGACUACCGCCUGCACCUGCGCCGCUCCCUGGUCCGGCGGCGCAUGCUCCAGGCCCUGGGGGCGGAGCCGAACGAGGAGGCCUGACGCCCGGGCCGGCCCCGGCAGCGCUUGCGCACCGCCCCGCGGGCUGGGGCCACCCACCCGGAGCCCCGGAGGACAGGGGGCGUUGCCUUCCCAGGAAGGAGGCGGGGCCGGCUCGAGGGGGUGGAUACUUCCCUGUACGUGGACGCCUGGGUCCCAAUCCCUUGAGGGAUGAACUGAGGCCCGCGAAAGGGAAGACCUGGGCACCGGGGCUUUCAACGCGUGCCGAGCCCUGUCUCAGCGAGAAUCAGACGUCCUCAUCCGCCCCCCUCCUCUUCCC
This 875-nucleotide long non-coding RNA is filed under the name Pan troglodytes (chimpanzee). RNAcentral describes it as "long non-coding RNA NONPTRT008191". The record is from RNAcentral. Lineage: Eukaryota; Metazoa; Chordata; Mammalia; Primates; Hominidae.